GAUCCUGCUCAGAUUGAACGCUGGCGGCAGGCUUAACACAUGCAAGUCGAACGGUAACAUAAAGAAGCUUGCUUCUUUGAUGACGAGUGGCGGACGGGUGAGUAAUGCUUGGGAAUCUAGCUUAUGGAGGGGGAUAACUACGGGAAACUGUAGCUAAUACCGCGUAGAAUCGAGAGAUGAAAGUGUGGGACCUUCGGGCCACAUGCCAUAGGAUGAGCCCAAGUGGGAUUAGGUAGUUGG
Molecule: ribosomal RNA, 240 nt
Filed under: uncultured bacterium
Lineage: Bacteria
Description: partial 16S ribosomal RNA
Rfam family: Bacterial small subunit ribosomal RNA
Source: RNAcentral